UAGCUAGUUGGUGAGGUAAAGGCUUACCAAGGCGACGAUCUGUAGCGGGUCUGAGAGGAUGAUCCGCCACACUGGAACUGAGACACGGUCCAGACUCCUACGGGAGGCAGCAGUGGGGAAUUUUGGACAAUGGGGGCAACCCUGAUCCAGCCAUGCCGCGUGAGUGAAGAAGGCCUUCGGGUUGUAAAGCUCUUUCGGCCGGGAAGAAAUCGCAUGGGCCAAUACCCUGUGUGGAUGACGGUACCGGAAUAAGAAGCACCGGCUAACUACGUGCCAGCAGCCGCGGUAAUACGUAGGGUGCGAGCGUUAAUCGGAAUUACUGGGCGUAAAGCGUGCGCAGGCAGUUUUGUAAGACAGGCGUGAAAUCCCCGGGCUUAACCUGGGAACUGCGUUUGUGACUGCAAGGCUAGAGUACGGCAGAGGGGGGUGGAAUUCCACGUGUAGCAGUGAAAUGCGUAGAGAUGUGGAGGAACACCAAUGGCGAAGGCAGCCCCCUGGGUCGAUACUGACGCUCAUGCACGAAAGCGUGGGUAGCAAACAGGAUUAGAUACCCUGGUAGUCCACGCCCUAAACUAUGUCAACUAGGUGUUGGGUGGGUAAAACCAUUUAGUACCGUAGCUAACGCGUGAAGUUGACCGCCUGGGGAGUACGGCCGCAAGGUUAAAACUCAAAGGAAUUGACGGGGACCCGCACAAGCGGUGGAUGAUGUGGAUUAAUUCGAUGCAACGCGAAAAACCUUACCUACCCUUGACAUGCCAGGAACUUGCCAGAGAUGGCUUGGUGCCCGAAAGGGAGCCUGGACACAGGUGCUGCAUGGCUGUCGUCAGCUCGUGUCGUGAGAUGUUGGUUAAGUCCCGCAACGAGCGCAACCCUUGUCGUUAAUUGCCAUCAUUUAGUUGGGCACUUUAACGAGACUGCCGGUGACAAACCGGAGGAAGGUGGGGAUGACGUCAAGUCCUCAUGGCCCUUAUGGGUAGGGCUUCACACGUCAUACAAUGGUCGGUACAAAGGGUUGCCAAGCCGCGAGGCGGAGCCAAUCCCAGAAAGCCGAUCGUAGUCCGGAUUGCAGGCUGCAACUCGCCUGCAUGAAGUCGGAAUCGCUAGUAAUCGUGGAUCAGCAUGUCACGGUGAAUACGUUCCCGGGUCUUGUACACACCGCCCGUCACACCAUGGGAGCGGGUUCCGCCAGAAGUAGGUAGCCUAACCGCAAGGGGGGCGCUUACCACGGCGGGGUUCGUGACUGGGGUGAAGUCGUAACAAGGUAGCCGUAGGGGAACCUGCGGCUG
RNAcentral lists this ribosomal RNA (1286 nucleotides) under metagenome. Its description in RNAcentral is "bacterial SSU rRNA". It matches the Rfam family "Bacterial small subunit ribosomal RNA", at positions 242 to 1520 of the family's 1533-position model. The record is from RNAcentral.